This 696-nucleotide long non-coding RNA is filed under the name Homo sapiens (human). RNAcentral's name for it is "HSALNT0374741". The record is from RNAcentral. Lineage: Eukaryota; Metazoa; Chordata; Mammalia; Primates; Hominidae.
CUCCAGGUUGAAACGAUGGCGGUCAGAACCGCCUGAGCUAAAUGCAAGAUGGUAUGGCAUCCAGACUCUGCUCAUAAGUAUCUGCAGUGAUCCAUACCUUGAUUGUACAUCUACUCUGCAUCCUGAGGACCUGAACAUGCUAACUGGUGGCUGCAGAUUUGUCUUCUAAGGAGCAAGUGUGGUCUGUGGACAGGCAGCUUCAGCCUCACCUGGGAUUUUGUUUGCACUAGAAAGUGCCAAGCCCUACCCUAGACCUAUUAAAGCAGAACUGGCGUUUAACAAGACACCCCAGGUAAUUUGUGUGCACCUUAGAGUCUGAGAUGCACUAGUGUAGUGAUUCGCAGGGGGACAAUUUUGACCUCCAGGGGACAAUAUCUGGAGACAUUUUUGGGUGUCACAACGUGCUGGGGAGAGGGUGCUACUGGCAUCUAAUGGGCUGAGGCCAAGGGUGCUGCUAAACAUCUGGCAAUACCGGGCCAACCUCCCCCCUCCUCCUGCCCACAGUAAAGAAUUACCCCGCCUGGAUUGUCAGUAGUGCAGAGGUAGAGGAAACCCUACACCUGUGAAACUCAUCUGACCUUUACUAUGAAUUCCUGGAUCUCCUGGUGCAUAUCAUUUCUGUUGCCCUGGCUGACAUUUCCACCUUUUCUCUUUUCUAGAUUUUAUUACAAGAACUCAAUCUGUUGGUCUCUAGGA